AUGGCGGUAGAAGAAAAUUCCCUUAUGGAGCUUCUAAGAUUCAUGUACAUUGGAAAGCUGACAACAAUUGAGCCCACUCUUCUGCUCGACAUCUUAAUGGCUGCUGACAAAUUUGAGGUUCCUGCUUGCAUGAGGUACUGCAGUCAGUUACUCAUAAGCCGGCCUAUGACCACAGAAUCUGCACUGCUAUACCUAGGCCAUCCAUGCUCCAUUUUAAUGGCUGCUGAAGUUCAGAGUUUAGUACGUGCAGGGAAGGGAUUCCUUGCCAAUAAAUACAAGGAUUUUGAUAAGUUCCAAGAUGAACUGAUGAACAUCUCUCUUGUUGGAAUCGAAGCCAUCUUUUCGAGCAGUGACCUACAC
Molecule: ribosomal RNA, 360 nt
Filed under: Triticum aestivum (bread wheat)
Lineage: Eukaryota; Viridiplantae; Streptophyta; Magnoliopsida; Poales; Poaceae
Description: partial small subunit ribosomal RNA
Source: RNAcentral